This 429-nucleotide ribosomal RNA is filed under the name Bacteroidota bacterium. RNAcentral describes it as "Bacteroidetes bacterium partial 16S ribosomal RNA". It matches the Rfam family "Bacterial small subunit ribosomal RNA", at positions 355 to 776 of the family's 1533-position model. Lineage: Bacteria; Pseudomonadati; Bacteroidota. The record is from RNAcentral.
UAGGGAAUCUUCCGCAAUGGACGCAAGUCUGACGGAGCAACGCCGCGUGAGUGAAGAAGGAUUUCGGUUUGUAAAACUCUGUUGUUAGAGAAGAACAGCGCAUAGAGUAACUGUUAUGCGUGUGACGGUAUCUAACCAGAAAGCCACGGCUAACUACGUGCCAGCAGCCGCGGUAAUACGUAGGUGGCAAGCGUUGUCCGGAUUUAUUGGGCGUAAAGCGAGCGCAGGCGGUCAAUUAAGUCUGAUGUGAAAGCCCCCGGCUCAACCGGGGAGGGUCAUUGGAAACUGGUUGACUUGAGUGCAGAAGAGGAGAGUGGAAUUCCAUGUGUAGCGGUGAAAUGCGUAGAUAGAUGGAGGGACACCAGUGGCGAAGGCGACUCUCUGGUCUGUAACUGACGCUGAGGCUCGAAAGCGUGGGUAGCAAACAGG